Molecule: non-coding RNA, 282 nt
Organism: Podarcis muralis (Common wall lizard)
Lineage: Eukaryota; Metazoa; Chordata; Lepidosauria; Squamata; Lacertidae
Source: RefSeq, a predicted model, not a curated record
AAAAUUCUAAUAAAUAUCUUUUUUUUAAAAAACAAAAACAGAAAAGAAAUAUAUGAAAAAAGAUAUGGCCUACAGCUGCAGCAAACUACUACAGAGAACGGUCUGCUAUUGCUAAUGCAGCAAUGAAGAAGUAGCUAAACACCACCCACAACUCUAAGAUGCUUCUGGAAGAUACAGGAUUUCUACGCAGAGGGAAUUCCACAAUUACCCACUACGACAUGUUCUUAUUAUUCAGACAAGCAAUACGGAGAGCAGUCAAUAAAGUGGUGUCAACUGAUUUUA